Molecule: long non-coding RNA, 867 nt
Filed under: Elaeis guineensis (African oil palm)
Lineage: Eukaryota; Viridiplantae; Streptophyta; Magnoliopsida; Arecales; Arecaceae
Description: long non-coding RNA (EGUI_LNC010845)
Source: RNAcentral
UCAAUAUAGUGAAUGUCAUUUAUUAUUUAGGAAGCAUUUCAUCCAUUAGAUUGGUACUGAUAUUGAACAAAUAAAUUUUAGGUCUUUAUCGGCAACUAAACCUCGAGCUCAGCUUAUUCACUGACUGAACAAGCCCUUAUCAAGGCAUAUAUGAAACAAAACAAGAGCUAGUCACAUAUGGCACAACCAUGAGCACAAGUAAUCCAUCUUGUAGUAAGUAUCCAUUUUCCAGCCAAUAAGUUUAGAGCUGAGGUCAUGCAAGUUAAGGCUGGUUGGGUUCUCAUAAGAUAUGUAUUUCACCUACCAAUAUUUCUCUUUGGGACAAGCACAUGCAAUAGCUUCUGCCAAUGCGACAAUGUGAGGCUAUGGCUGGUCGAGAGGGCUAUUUGAUGUUCAUGUGACUGAUCCUCUUUCUCGUGCAAGAUUCGUGUGGGAUUUGAGUGAAGUUCUUGUAGCACUUGUCAAAUUGUCAAUGGUCAAGAGAGUAACAUGUUCCUUGCAUGACCAGUGAUAUACUGUGUCAAAUCAUUUAUUUUGGAACCCGAUAACUAAUUGUACCUACCAGCACAGACUUUUCCUGGGUAGAUACAUUUACAAACAAGGCUGAUGUUUCAUAGAAGAUAUGAGAAGUUGGCAAGUUAAGAGGAUUCUAGUUUUGGAAGGUUCAAUGCUGGCCAAUCCUGAAUGAGAAACAGGCUAUAUAGAUUACGCUAGUGUGGAGCAUCUCAGUAUUUCAAGACUCAGUUCUGGUUUUACUUGAUGUGUUUCACGGGUCAUCAAAGGGCUAAAAUAUCAGUUUAAAGACUGCCUAAUAUGUCCAUUAAUGAAAAAACAGUUGGUUCAUAUCAUUUAAACCUGUUCAGGCCU